Columba livia (rock pigeon) is the source of this 1289-nucleotide long non-coding RNA. RefSeq lists it as uncharacterized. The transcript is spliced from 3 exons. The record is from RefSeq and is a predicted model, not a curated record. NCBI's taxonomy places the organism in Eukaryota, Metazoa, Chordata, Aves, Columbiformes, Columbidae.
CUGCGCGAGCACAGGCGGGAGCACCCGGGGAGCCUGAAAGGGGCGGCGGACUGUACCACUGCGACAUGAAAGGGGGCGCAACACGGCUGCCGGGAGGGGCAGUGGGGGGAAUGAAGAGGGAGAUACCACUGCCGGUGGAGGGUGUUUCAAAAAGAUGGACCCAACUUGAAAUCACUGUAUCUCUGCAACCACAAACCGCCCAUGAAUGAAACUCUUACCGUUUGAAACGACAGGGCACAGAAUUUCAAAUGCCUCUCCCAGCACACAAACAGCCCCCAGCCUGAGUCUUUCCCAGGGUGGUGACCCUGCAACACAAGGCGUUUUGUGUUCUGCAAUUCAGCAAAACUGAAUCCGUAACUGCGGUGCAGCAUGCAUUCCAACGGUGUUUUGGUGUUGCCCCGCCAAUGCCAAAGAGUAUUCGUCGUUGGUACCGACAAUUUAAGGAAACUGGCUGUUUAUGUAAGGGGAAGAGCACAGGGCAACCACACACUUCAGAGGAGAAGAAACCACUACUGCUGUGCUCUGGUCACUUUGCAGCCCAGUCCACCUGCUGCCCCACAGACAUCUCUCAGCAUCCAGAACCAGCUCAAGUCAGUGUGGCUCCACAGGAACAUAAAGAUCCAUCAGCAGAGGAAACCCAAGCUCUCUUCCACUUCAGGACAAGCUGUCCACAUCGAAAGUGCAACAAUUAAAGCUGCCAACCGAUGGAGACAGCUUAGAAACUAUGCAUGAUUAUGACAGGUUUCACAAUGGCAAUCAAUGAAUAAUAAGUGGGGCAUUAUUUAUUGCUGCCCACUUGCGAUUCAGUGGUUCUGCCUCCCACAGAGCUCUUUACUCCCCAGGAAUUCCAUAAGCAGAUAAUGCUCUUACUUCACUUUAAGAAGAAAAAAAUAAGUAAAUAGGAUAUAUUAACAGUGUCUUUUGUAAGAAGGAUUACAAAACCCCUAUUCUAAACAGUUUGCUUACAGUAGAAAAAAUAGAGUUUUGCAGAAUGGGCUGUGAAUGUACUGCAAACACAAAAUAUAUAGUCUUCCUGCUCAGUGUAUAGCCUACCUUUUUUUUUUUUUUUACAUUUCUUUUGUACCUGUAACAAAUGAGUUAAAAAUACUUUAAAGCUGCUUUGUACUGCCUAUUUUGAGGAAAUAUGAGUAAAACUAGCUAUUGAAGAGUAUUUUUGCUGACCUUUGAUCUUUAUAUACUUACACAACACAAUCCAGCAAGUAUUUCUUUCUCAUUUUGUUUGAAAAGUUGAAGUCCGUUGCUCAUAAACUUAGUAUAUUUACAACUAA